RNAcentral lists this ribosomal RNA (501 nucleotides) under uncultured bacterium. RNAcentral describes it as "bacterial SSU rRNA". It matches the Rfam family "Bacterial small subunit ribosomal RNA", at positions 28 to 520 of the family's 1533-position model. The record is from RNAcentral.
GACGAACGCUGGCGGCGUGGAUUAGGCAUGCAAGUCGAACGGUAUCAUCCUUUCGGGGGUGAGAGAGUGGCGAACUGGUGAGUAACACGUAGGUUAUCUACCCUCAAGACGGGGACAACCCAGGGAAACUUGGGCUAAUACCGGAUGUGAGCAACUUUUAGUUGUUUGAAAGGUGGCGUAAGCUGUCGCUUGGGGAUGAGCCUGCGUCCUAUUAGUUAGUUGGUGAGGUAACGGCUCACCUAGGCAAUGAUAGGUAGGCGGCCUUAACGGGUGGUCGCCCACACUGGGAUUGAGAUACGGCCCAGACUCCUACGGGAGGCAGCAGUCGAGAAUAGUCUACAAUGGUCGGAAGACUGAUAGUGCGACGCCGCGUGAACGAUGAAUCCCUUCGGGGUGUAAAGUUCUUUUAUAUGUGAGCAGUGCUUCUUAUAUUAACAGUAUGGGGAGAGAGAUAUUAGCAUAUGAAUAAGCAACGGCUAACUCCGUGCCAGCGAGCCGAGU